RNAcentral lists this transfer RNA (73 nucleotides) under Ailuropoda melanoleuca (giant panda). It matches the Rfam family "tRNA". Rfam says of the family: Transfer RNA (tRNA) molecules are approximately 80 nucleotides in length. The record is from Rfam by way of RNAcentral. Lineage: Eukaryota; Metazoa; Chordata; Mammalia; Carnivora; Ursidae.
GCCUGGCUGGCUCAGUCAGUAGAACAUGUGACUCUUAAUCUCGGGGUCGUGAGUUCAAGCCCCACAUUGGGCA